Molecule: ribosomal RNA, 193 nt
Filed under: uncultured Duganella sp.
Lineage: Bacteria; Pseudomonadati; Pseudomonadota; Betaproteobacteria; Burkholderiales; Oxalobacteraceae
Description: partial 16S ribosomal RNA
Rfam family: Bacterial small subunit ribosomal RNA
Source: RNAcentral
CUACGGGAGGCAGCAGUGGGGAAUAUUGGACAAUGGGGGAAACCCUGAUCCAGCAAUGCCGCGUGAGCGAAGAAGGCCUUCGGGUUGUAAAGCUCUUUUGUCAGGGAAGAAACGGUGUCAACUAAUAUUUGAUGCUAAUGACGGUACCUGAAGAAUAAGCACCGGCUAACUACGUGCCAGCAGCCGCGGUAAU